AGUUUGAUCAUGGCUCAGAUUGAACGCUGGCGGCAUGCCUUACACAUGCAAGUCGAACGGUAACAGGGUCUUCGGAUGCUGACGAGUGGCGAACGGGUGAGUAAUACAUCGGAACGUGCCCGAUCGUGGGGGAUAACGCAGCGAAAGCUGUGCUAAUACCGCAUACGAUCUACGGAUGAAAGCGGGGGACUCGCAAGGGCCUCGCGCGGACGGAGCGGCCGAUGGCAGAUUAGGUAGUUGGUGGGAUAAAAGCUUACCAAGCCGACGAUCUGUAGCUGGUCUGAGAGGACGACCAGCCACACUGGGACUGAGACACGGCCCAGACUCCUACGGGAGGCAGCAGUGGGGAAUUUUGGACAAUGGGCGCAAGCCUGAUCCAGCCAUGCCGCGUGAGUGAAGAAGGCCUUCGGGUUGUAAAGCUCUUUCGGCCGGGAAGAAAUCGCAUGGGUUAAUACCCUGUGUGGAUGACGGUACCGGAAUAAGAAGCACCGGCUAACUACGUG
Molecule: ribosomal RNA, 503 nt
Filed under: uncultured bacterium
Lineage: Bacteria
Description: bacterial SSU rRNA
Rfam family: Bacterial small subunit ribosomal RNA
Source: RNAcentral